GAAGUUCAGAGACAGUGUCCAGAGCCUGAGUUCAAGCCACAGAACUGGCACAAAAGAAUAAGAAAAGAAAGAAUAAUGUCUUUCCUUGUGUUCUCACAGACAACUAAGCAGACUUCAUUUUUUUUCCUGCAAUAUUUUUCUCGCAAAAGAGACCAGGCUGGCCUCAUGUUCUCAAUCCUCCUGCCGCAGACUCCCAUGUGAUAUGAUUGUAAACAUGUGCCACUCUGUCUAAUAUUUUCCACUAACUUCUCUGAUAAAACAAAGUGAAAUACUUAUUUAGCAUUUUGUAAAAAGUAAAUUUCUAA
Long non-coding RNA from Dipodomys spectabilis (banner-tailed kangaroo rat), 305 nucleotides. RefSeq lists it as uncharacterized. The record is from RefSeq and is a predicted model, not a curated record. The transcript has 4 exons. NCBI's taxonomy places the organism in Eukaryota, Metazoa, Chordata, Mammalia, Rodentia, Heteromyidae.